AAUGAGCAUGAAUGGCUAAACUGAUUUUGGUGUUAGAAUUAUUUGUACUGUGUAUUUAGCCUUGAGAGGCUAGGUUGCGAUAAAUUGCCAUGUCAUGUAGAAAAAGAUUUUAUAAAUCAGGUGGUAGAUAAAAGAUUAGCUACUGCAGUGGUGGGGGGUUCUGUGGGCCAGCCUAUUAGAAGGGCACGGUAAACUCCUUUAUAUUCUCACCUCGAUCGUAGAGGCGCGUAGGGUAUCUCCUGAGGUGGGCUUUUUG
This 256-nucleotide long non-coding RNA is filed under the name Theobroma cacao (cacao). Its description in RNAcentral is "long non-coding RNA (TCAC_LNC006387)". The record is from RNAcentral. Lineage: Eukaryota; Viridiplantae; Streptophyta; Magnoliopsida; Malvales; Malvaceae.